UGGGGAAUAUUGGACAAUGGGCGCAAGCCUGAUCCAGCCAUGCCGCGUGAGUGAUGAAGGCCCUAGGGUUGUAAAGCUCUUUCACCGGUGAAGAUAAUGACGGUAACCGGAGAAGAAGCCCCGGCUAACUUCGUGCCAGCAGCCGCGGUAAUACGAAGGGGGCUAGCGUUGUUCGGAUUUACUGGGCGUAAAGCGCACGUAGGCGGACUUUUAAGUCAGGGGUGAAAUCCCGGGGCUCAACCCCGGAACUGCCUUUGAUACUGGAAGUCUUGAGUAUGGUAGAGGUGAUUGGAAUUCCGAGUGUAGAGGUGAAAUUCGUAGAUAUUCGGAGGAACACCAGUGGCGAAGGCGGCUCACUGGACCAUUACUGACGCUGAGGUGCGAAAGCGUGGGGAGCAAACAGG
This 404-nucleotide ribosomal RNA is filed under the name Actinomycetes bacterium. RNAcentral describes it as "Actinobacteria bacterium partial 16S ribosomal RNA". It matches the Rfam family "Bacterial small subunit ribosomal RNA", at positions 355 to 776 of the family's 1533-position model. The record is from RNAcentral. Lineage: Bacteria; Bacillati; Actinomycetota; Actinomycetes.